CAGAGAGAAUAUAGACAGUGUUAUGGGUCAGGCAGAGAGAAUAUAGACAGUGGGUCAGGCAGAGAGAAUAUAGACAGUGGGUCAGGCAGAGAGAAUAUAGACAGUGGGUCAGGCAGAGAGAAUAUAGACAGUUAUGGGUCAGGCAGAGAGAAUAUAGACAGUGGGUCAGGCAGAGAGAAUAUAGACAGUGGGUCAGGCAGAGAGAAUAUAGACAGUGUUAUGGGUCAGGCAGAGAAUAUAGACAGUGGUGGGUCAGGCAGAGAGAAUAUAGACAGUGGGUCAGGCAGAGAGAAUAUAGACAGUGGGUCAGGCAGAGAGAAUAUAGACAGCCUUAUGGGUCAGGCAGAGAGAAUAUAGACAGUGGGUCAGGCAGAGAGAAUAUAGACAGUUAUGGGUCAGGCAGAGAGAAUAUAGACAGUGGGUCAGGCAGAGAGAAUAUAGACAGUUAUGGGUCAGGCAGAGAGAAUAUAGACAGUUAUGGGUCAGGCAGGAACAUUUUAGCAGUGUGCAUGUGAGACAGAGGGGGCAGUAGCCCUCCUCAGUUUAAACCAUGUUGUUUGAGAAUGAUUCUCACUCUCUCGUCAGUUAAGAACAAAUUCUUAUUUACAAUGACGGCCUACCAGGGAACAGGUUAACUGCCUUGUUCAGGGGCAGAACGACAGAUUUUUACCUUGUCA
This is a long non-coding RNA of Oncorhynchus tshawytscha (Chinook salmon), 677 nucleotides long. Lineage: Eukaryota; Metazoa; Chordata; Actinopteri; Salmoniformes; Salmonidae. The record is from Ensembl.